Molecule: ribosomal RNA, 459 nt
Filed under: uncultured bacterium
Lineage: Bacteria
Description: SSU rRNA
Rfam family: Bacterial small subunit ribosomal RNA
Source: RNAcentral
AGAAUCAACGCUGGCGGCGUGCCUAACACAUGCAAGUCGAACGAGAAAGUGGAGCAAUCCAUGAGUAAAGUGGCGCACGGGUGAGUAACACGUGACUAACCUACCUUUUAGUGGGGGAUAACCUAGGGAAACCUGGGCUAAUACCGCAUAAUACCUACGGGUCAAAGCAGCAAUGCGCUGGAAGAGGGGGUCGCGGCCGAUUAGCUAGUUGGCGGGGUAAUGGCCCACCAAGGCAGUGAUCGGUAUCCGGCCUGAGAGGGCGCACGGACACACUGGAACUGAAACACGGUCCAGACUCCUACGGGAGGCAGCAGUGGGGAAUUUGCGCAAUGGGGGAAACCCUGACGCAGCAACGCCGCGUGGAGGAUGAAGACCCUUGGGUCGUAAACUCCUUUCGAUCGGGACGAUAAUGACGGUACCGGAAGAAGAAGCCCCGGCUAACUUCGUGCCAGCAGCCGC